This 533-nucleotide ribosomal RNA is filed under the name gut metagenome. RNAcentral's name for it is "bacterial SSU rRNA". It matches the Rfam family "Archaeal small subunit ribosomal RNA", at positions 887 to 1422 of the family's 1478-position model. The record is from RNAcentral.
GGAGGAGCGUGCGGUUUAAUUGGAUUCAACACCGGAAAACUCACCAAGGGCGACUGUUACAUGAAAGCCAGGCUAAUGACCUUGCUUGAUUUUCAGAGAGGUGGUGCAUGGCCGUCGUCAGUUCGUACCGUAAGGCGUUCUCUUAAGUGAGAUAACGAACGAGACCCUCACUAAUAAUUGCUACUUCGAUCUCCGGACCGGAGGCACAUUAUUGGGACCGCUGGCGCUAAGUCAGAGGAAGGAGAGGUCAACGGUAGGUCAGUAUGCCCCGAAUCUCUUGGGCUACACGCGCGCUACAAAGGGCGGGACAAUGGGCUCCGACGCCGAAAGGCGAAGGUAAUCUCGAAACCCGUCCGUAGUUCGGAUUGAGGGUUGUAACUCACCCUCAUGAAGCUGGAUUCCGUAGUAAUCGCGAAUCAACAACUCGCGGUGAAUAUGCCCCUGCUCCUUGCACACACCGCCCGUCAAACCAUCCGAGUUGGGUUUCAGUGAGGUUGCCUCUGAUUAGGGUGUUCAAACUGAGAUUUAGCAAG